UAGAGGCGGCAGAGAUAGGAAUGGAGCCAAGGCUGCGGAGGCAGAAGGCGGGAGGC
Molecule: small RNA, 56 nt
Filed under: Myotis lucifugus (little brown bat)
Lineage: Eukaryota; Metazoa; Chordata; Mammalia; Chiroptera; Vespertilionidae
Description: GRIK4 3 prime UTR element (ENSMLUG00000021864.1)
Source: RNAcentral